RNAcentral lists this long non-coding RNA (404 nucleotides) under Homo sapiens (human). RNAcentral describes it as "HSALNT0138035". The record is from RNAcentral. Lineage: Eukaryota; Metazoa; Chordata; Mammalia; Primates; Hominidae.
CUCCUGCCUCAGCCUCCCAAGUAGCUGGGACUAUAGGUGCAUGCCACCACGCCCGGCUAAUUUUUAUAUCUUUAGUAGAGAUGGGUUUUCCUCAAGUUGGCCCAGCUGGUCUUGAACUCCUGAACUCAGGGGAUCCACCCGCCUCAGCCUCCCAAAGUGCUGGGAUUACAGGCAUGAGCCAUCAUGCCCGGCCCAUUAUUGCCUUUUUAAAAUUUAGGUUUUUGUUUUGUUUUGUUUUGUUUGUGCAUCAUUUUGAUUCCCUCCUUUCCUGUUUUGUGUAUUUUUAAAUUUACUUAGUGGUUACUUUGGGGUUUACAAUUAACACCUUAAACUUAUAAAGACCUAGUUUGAAUAAUACCAAUUUAAGUUUUUUGUUUUUGUUUUCAGGACUGACAAUAUGUUAG